Molecule: transfer RNA, 83 nt
Filed under: Streptomyces noursei
Lineage: Bacteria; Bacillati; Actinomycetota; Actinomycetes; Kitasatosporales; Streptomycetaceae
Description: tRNA-Arg
Source: RNAcentral
CCACCAGCUGGGCGGGGUGCUGGCUGCUGCUGCUCCUGGCGGCGGCCGGCGCCGGCACGGCCGUCGAAGCGGCCCUGGUCAUC